This 75-nucleotide ribosomal RNA is filed under the name Torynurus convolutus. RNAcentral's name for it is "partial 28S ribosomal RNA". It matches the Rfam family "Eukaryotic large subunit ribosomal RNA", at positions 1 to 73 of the family's 3401-position model. Lineage: Eukaryota; Metazoa; Nematoda; Chromadorea; Rhabditida; Pseudaliidae. The record is from RNAcentral.
UGCAACCUGAACUCAGAUGUGAUUACCCGCUGAACUUAAGCAUAUCAUUUAGCGGAGGAAAAGAAACUAACAAGG